This is a non-coding RNA of Coffea arabica (coffee), 774 nucleotides long. The record is from RefSeq and is a predicted model, not a curated record. Lineage: Eukaryota; Viridiplantae; Streptophyta; Magnoliopsida; Gentianales; Rubiaceae.
GCUAAAGUCAGACCGUACCCCCAUGUAGCCUAAUACAGCUAUCGCUAGUUUAGACGGCCUGUUGGCUGUUACUCAGAAUUGUCUUCGUCUAGGGUUUAAGAAGGGGUCUAAGAAGGGCAAUCUCAGACUUCUAAAUCCCUGAGCUCAGUUGCUGAAAGAAGAAAAAGAAAAGUCACAAGUAGCGGAGUUCAAGUUCUCUUUUGCUGAUGGAUACUUCAAGGGUCAACUCCACUGAAUUGGAGCAGUUUCUGAGUUUUGCAAUUAUUGGGAUGAAGAUGGUUUUGAGAUGACAAAGAUACAAGAGCUUGUCCUGGAGGUAUCUUAUUGAGGAAUGGUUGGAGAAAUGUAACUAGAUGGGUAGGUAUUUAUUCUCUUAACCAUCCUCGGACGGAGUGCAGUAGGAUCAGGAUGAUAGGGGAAAUUUGCCUCAGGAUUGAAUGAUAAUUAUGGAUCCCUUGACAAAUCCAUGGAAUGGAUCUAUAUGAAGAAACCCGUUGCAGCUAUAAGUUGUUAAUGAGAUGGUCGUCAUCUGGCAAAACACAUGAUUAUGUCCUUGUACAUACCUGUCAAAACUGAAGUUACACAAGGGACAGAAAAAUGUACGAAUCUGUGCUUUUGGUGAACUAGUGUCAGGUUUUAUGUCUGUACAAGUUUUCCUGCUGAGCUAUGUGAUAUACCUUGAAUUUUCCUUAUUCUUUAGUGAGCAUAACCUGAUUGAAAUAUUAAUGUCAGAUCUUUUUGUUUCUAUAGAUAUUUAAUGUUAAUCAUGUAAUA